CAAUAGCGUAUAUUAAAGUUGUUGCAGUUAAAAAGCUCGUAGUCGGAUUUCAGGGCGGGGCUGCCGGUCUGCCGAUGGGUAUGCACUGGUGGGCUCGUUCUUCCUUCUGGGGACUGCGCCUACUCUUGACUGAGCGGGCGUAGGAAACAGGACUUUUACUUUGAAAAAAUCAGAGUGUUUAAAGCAGGCCAAGAUGCUCUUGCAUGGAUUAGCAUGGGAUAAUGGAAUAGGACUUUGGUGCUAUUUUGUUGGUUUCGAACACCGAAGUAAUGAUUAAUAGGGACAGUCAGGGGCACUCGUAUUCCGUUGAGAGAGGUGAAAUUCUUAGACCAAUGGAAGACGAACUUCUGCGAAAGCAUUUGCCAGGGAUGUUUUCACUGAUCAAGAACGAAAGUAAGGGAUCGAAGAUGAUUAGAUACCAU
This 422-nucleotide ribosomal RNA is filed under the name uncultured eukaryote. RNAcentral's name for it is "SSU rRNA". It matches the Rfam family "Eukaryotic small subunit ribosomal RNA", at positions 592 to 1018 of the family's 1831-position model. The record is from RNAcentral.